AAGUAGUUAGUUUAAGAAAAACACUUGAUUUCGGCUCAAGAGCUCAUGGUUAGACCCCAUGACUGCCUA
Molecule: transfer RNA, 69 nt
Filed under: Paretroplus maculatus
Lineage: Eukaryota; Metazoa; Chordata; Actinopteri; Cichliformes; Cichlidae
Description: tRNA-Arg
Rfam family: tRNA
About the family: Transfer RNA (tRNA) molecules are approximately 80 nucleotides in length. Their secondary structure includes four short double-helical elements and three loops (D, anti-codon, and T loops). Further hydrogen bonds mediate the characteristic L-shaped molecular structure. tRNAs have two regions of fundamental functional importance: the anti-codon, which is responsible for specific mRNA codon recognition, and the 3' end, to which the tRNAs corresponding amino acid is attached (by aminoacyl-tRNA synthetases). tRNAs cope with the degeneracy of the genetic code in two manners: having more than one tRNA (with a specific anti-codon) for a particular amino acid; and 'wobble' base-pairing, i.e. permitting non-standard base-pairing at the 3rd anti-codon position.
Source: RNAcentral